RNAcentral lists this transfer RNA (73 nucleotides) under Caudoviricetes sp. RNAcentral describes it as "tRNA-Met". It matches the Rfam family "tRNA". Rfam says of the family: Transfer RNA (tRNA) molecules are approximately 80 nucleotides in length. Their secondary structure includes four short double-helical elements and three loops (D, anti-codon, and T loops). The record is from RNAcentral. Lineage: Duplodnaviria; Heunggongvirae; Uroviricota; Caudoviricetes.
GGAUCGUUAAUUCAGUUGGUAGAAUGCACGUCUCAUAAACGUGAAGUCGCCAGUUCGAGUCUGGCACGAUCCA